UAGCUCUACUUCUGUGAAUAGUACCAAAACUAUGACAGAUCUUGUAUCCUGAUUCUUCAUAACUAGAAAUGGUCAUCUUGAAAAUGAGUCUACCUGUAUGUGUAGAUUCCUGAAAUAUCAAUACUUUGGUUACCGCUAACUUACCAAUAUCAUCAAGGUAUUUUGAACACAGAGUCUAAUGUUUUGGCCACAAUCUACCUUGGCAUACUCACUGUAAACGUUUCCAUAGUUUUAUCAUCAUUAGCUGAAUGUCAAAUCUUGCAGUUACGGAUAUUUUAGUCACAAUCUACCUUGGUAUCUUUUCUGUUGGUGUUAUCAUAGUUUAGUCACUGCUAGCUUAACACUAAGUCUUGUGGUAGUUACUAAUUCUUUGGCCACUAUCUACCGUGGCAUCUCCUUUGUAGAUGUUACCAUACAUUUGUCCCCACUACCUCACCAUCAAGCGCUGUGUGCACCACACAUAAUUUGGUCACAGACAAGUACUGUCUUCUUUCCUGUAUAUGUUACAAUUGUUUCAUCACUUGAAUAUGUUACAAUUGUUUCAUCACCUGAAUAACCUUAACCUUUUCGAUACCAACCUGGCUGAAACCACCUCUGGCUCCGUAGAACAAAUAUCUUGCUUUCAUAAGUUCUGAAUUAAAAUCUUCCACCAAACCUUAGACACAAUUUAUGUUCCUAACUCUAGCAGAAUUAUAACGAAGUUAUUUUACGAAAUUCUUUGUUAUAGUUAAAAUUAAUUGAAAGAAACACAGAACAUCUCAAAAUAAAUACGGUAAUGAAAGGGUUAAAAUAUAUAAUAGAGAAACAAUUCUUAACCCUUUUGAUACCAACCUGGUUGAAACCACCUCUGGCUCUGUUGUACAAAUGUCUUGUUUUCAUAAGUUUUGAAUUAAAAUCUUCCACCAAACCUUAGUCACAAUUUAUGUUCCUAACACUAGCUGAAUGAUAACUAAGUUAUUUUACUAAAUUCUUUGUUAUAUUUAAAGUAAUUGAAAGAAACACGGAACAUCUCAAAAUAAAUACGGUAAUGAAAGGGCUAAUGUUAUUUCCUAUGGAUGUUACCAAAACUUUGCUUACUGCCAUUUUCAAUAGAUACCACCAUUUUCAAUAGAUAUCACCAACUUUCCUUUAUCAAAUCCAGUCUGUUGAUUUUUACCAGUAUUUUCUUACCAAAAGGUUACCAAUUCAUAUCAUUGUUACCUGACGUUGGCUGCAGUAUUUUAUUGGUUCCUGUUCUCUGUGGAUAUCACCAAUGCUUUCUUACCAACAUUUAACA
Molecule: long non-coding RNA, 1276 nt
Filed under: Octopus vulgaris (common octopus)
Lineage: Eukaryota; Metazoa; Mollusca; Cephalopoda; Octopoda; Octopodidae
Source: RNAcentral